Long non-coding RNA from Pseudophryne corroboree (corroboree frog), 529 nucleotides. RefSeq lists it as uncharacterized. The record is from RefSeq and is a predicted model, not a curated record. The transcript has 3 exons. NCBI's taxonomy places the organism in Eukaryota, Metazoa, Chordata, Amphibia, Anura, Myobatrachidae.
AUGGCUCAGACAGACCUUAUAAUCACUAGACACCUCCUCCCCCUCCAAGACUGACAGGAUAACUACACUUGCACCUUUCCAUUAAAAGAGAGCUCUUCGCAACUGCUCUGUUUUGAUCAGUCACAUGCCUUCAGCUGUGCUAGGCUCCAGGGAGAAAUACACUGAAAUCAACAAACAGGAGCCUACUGUAGAAGAGGACCGGAUUUCUCCCAGUGGUAGGUUAUGAAGAACUAGCAGCCAUAGCGCUGUCUGGUAAUGGAUUAUCCGUUUCACUCUCAACCACAGGUGUAUCUAUAAUGGGUGCAAGGAAGACCCAUACUGUGCCCAUUUAAUAUACAUAACUUGCAUCCGCAUCUUCUGGAAAAUGGCACCAGUGCAUGCCCAGUAAAGAAAUCACCAGGAUGGUGCCAGUGCCAUUUUUCCAGAGACAUGCACAUCAGUGGAGUAACUAGGGGUCCGCAGCCACUGCGAGCGCUUGGAGGCAUGCAGGGCUGCGGGGCGCCCUAGCUGCCACUGAUCUCUGCUAGGA